GAUGAAGAACGUAGCGAAAUGCGAUAAGUAGUGUGAAUUGCAGAAUUCAGUGAAUCAUCGAGUCUUUGAACGCACAUUGCGCCCCCUGGUAUUCCGGGGGGCAUGCCUGUUCGAGCGUCAUUUCACCACUCAAGCCUCGCUUGGUAUUGGGCAACGCGGUCCGCCGCGUGCCUCAAAUCGACCGGCUGGGUCUUCUGUCCCCUAAGCGUUGUGGAAACUUUCGCUAAAGGGUGUUCGGGAGGCUACGCCGUAAAACAACCCCAUUUCUAAGGUUGACCUCGGAUCAGGUAGGGAUACCCGCUGAACUUAAGCAUAUCAAUAAGCGGAGGA
Molecule: unclassified non-coding RNA, 330 nt
Filed under: soil metagenome
Description: partial contains 5.8S ribosomal RNA, internal transcribed spacer 2, and large subunit ribosomal RNA
Rfam family: 5.8S ribosomal RNA (bases 1-120)
Source: RNAcentral